UGUUUCAGAGCCGGGGGCUGGUUUCUCCAGAGCCCAGAUGAAAGAGCCGCCCCUGAGCAGCCCUGCAGCUCUCUUCUGUCCAGAGAAGCUUCGCCGCUCCGAUACCAGAGCCCACUAUCAGCAAACUGGGAUUCCGAUGAGGAAAACAGCGUUGGAGGCUAAUAGAAGAGGAAGGAGUGGAGAGACAGCCGUGCUUCUAAGUGCUGAGUGGCUCCUCAUCAAAUGUUCCCGUCGUGGAUUAGGGCCCGAACACUGCAGGAGGUCAAACACGGGGAGAGGCGACCCGUCCUGCUGCACCCCUGAUCAGGGGGUGGAAAUCAUCCAGAACUCAAAUCAUGGAUUCACGGGAAAACUCCGUUCAAACAUCAAAGCCAAGAUGGGGCGAGCACGCCCAUGUUGACACAAACCAAACAACAAUGUGAGCAAACCUGAUGAGAGAACAGCUCCGUUCACAUGAAGUUGACAAAUCAAAAUCAUCUUGAUUCUUCCAGAACUCAAAGGUUUUAGCGUCAGAUGUAAAAUCAAAUCUCCUUCUCAUCUGAAGUGGAUUCCUGACACUUUUCUUUACUGAAUAACAGGGAGGUUCAUAAACUCUAUGACAGGUGGCCCGCGGGCCGGAUCCGGCCCUCCUCCAUAUAUUGCCUGGCCCCCCAAACACUAUAUAUACAUUUUUUUUUUUACGAUGACGAGAGAGGAUAGACUAUUUAUUUGUUUGAUUUUUAAAAUAUUUUAUUGUUUUCUGUGAAGAUUACAGGAAGGAAUUGUGGCUGUGUGGCUUCUGCAAAAACCAUAAAUGUUUACGUUUAGGCUGUGAUUGUUACACUUCUUGUGUUAGCCUAGAAAGCGACUCCAGCCCCACAUCACAGAGGAAAACAGUUCUGUGGCCCUUAUAAGAAAAGCUUUGGGGACUCCAGAAGCAAACAGAAGAUACGAACUUCACAUCGAAAAUAAAAAUUCUCUAACAGUUUUUACCAGACAGUUUUCAGUUUGUAAAUUUCUCAGAAGAUUAAUUUAAGAAAUAAAUCUGUUUUUCUCUCCUGAGAGUUUGGACAAAAAAAAAAAUCAACUUUAACUGUUCAUCACAUUCUGAGAUUACAAACUUGGUCUGAGAAAAAAUAAAUUAAAUUUAGAAGGAAAACACAGUAAUACGCUUAAAAAAAUAAAAUAAAAUCUGGACAUUCUGUCUACUCAAAAUCUCCUGACUGGAAUUGUGUUUUUAACCUUUUUUUACCCUAUUGGCUAAACUGAAGAUGUUUUUCUGUUUACAUUAUUUUAGUGUUGCAUAAGGCUGUUUUAGCAGUGAAACAUUUUUAAUCAAAACUUUUAAUCUUAGAAACUAAACCUAGAUGACUUAAUGGAAAAGCUUAAAAAAAAAGACUUUUGAAAAGUUUAGCCCUAUUUUUACACUUAAUUUUUAAGAUGGAUUUUCAUCCAUGCCAUUGUUUACAAAUUCUCAGAACAUGCAGAUUUGGGUUUAUUAAUAUUUUAAAAUUGACUUUAGACUUGUUGGAGUUGGAGGUGAUAACCCCACAGAUGCAGGUCUUGACUAAAAAUCUCUUUAAUAAAUUAUUGAACAUAUGAAAUGUAUUUAUUUUGCAAAUAAAAUAUGUCAAAUAUAAAAAUCAUUGCAGAUAUGUUUUUAUUGAUGGUAAAAAAUACAUUUUUAAUCUGAUUUUGUGGGGGGAAAUAAUAAUAAAAAAAUAAGUUUAAUGAACAGGAAACUGAAUUUAUUGUAUUGAUUUUUUGCUGGAGAAACUGCAUGUUGUCACAUGGUGACUGAGGGUUCACCACCAGAGCUCGCGGCUAAAAUGCGGGACACGGCGGCGCCCGCAGCAGAAACAGGAGCUGACCGGCCGUCGUGCUUGAGGAGGACAAACCGCGUUACCAUGGCGAUGAGGUCCGUUUGGGAUGCGGGAGCGCCGGGAGGGUAUCAGGGAAAUGGAUCGAUGCGCAUCAGUUCUGAAUGAAAAAAAUAAACUUAAUUUUUCAUCAAGAAAAUAAAACCCCCAAACAUUGAAGUUGUGAUGGAAACGCAUAAUUCAGUUUUUGGAAAUGCAGAGAAAACAUGAAAAUGCAGGUUUGAGAGGAUGAGAGAUUACCUAAGCCUCUGAUAAAGACUCUUCAGCCUCCUGGUUAGUGAUUGAUUGACUGAUUUGAUUAUCAUACAUGUGGAUUUCGUAUUUGUUCAGCUACAUAUGAGUCAAAAAAGUGACAGAAUUUGGGUCUGAACUGUUCCAGGUGGCAAAAUCCCCCGUUCCCGCGUCCCCCUGGAACUAAUAAGCCAGUCCAUUUUCACCCUCGAGUCCCCGCAUCGGCUGGAGUGACUGAUUUACGGCUGAGACGCAGCCCAAACUCAAACAAUUAUACAUGUGCUGUAUUUCACUCUCAUAUAGCUGCUCUGUGUGAACACUUUCCCAUCGUGUUCGCACUGGACCGCGCUCCUUAAGCCUCUCAGAGUGAGUCCAGAAAUCUGUUCUGCCUCAUUAGGACAAUAAUCUGAUUUGAGGCUCGGAGAGUGUAAACCUAGACUGCUUAGAGGUCUGAUCUCAUUGGAAGCCAAAGAAACGCUGCUGAGGUCCUGCAGGGACUGAUCUCCGGGGUUUUUGGGGGGUCAGUCAGGUUGAGUCAAACGGGACAUUUGUCUCUCAGAGGUUGAUGAUCACCUCAGAUGGAUUCACGUACACGCACGUGCGUAAUGAUUAAGUGGAGACACUUCAUUAUGAGAUAAAAUGUCUUUAGUGAAUUUGAGGGUCAGAAAAAAACCUGAUUACGUUUUGUUUAAUGCAAAACAGUGUUAAAGUGUUCUUUAGUUGAAGGCGCGGGACUCCGCAGCUCCUCUCCAAACCAGAGGCGCGCGGCGCGCGCGGCGCAUGCGGCGCAGCCCAGAAAUCUCUCCCCAGGCUGAGAAAAAUGCUCGAGUCCGAGGCGCAGCCCUCAGAUGUUAUGAGAAAACCAUUGUGCGUUCACGUGGAAUCCACAUUACUCACACAGGCAGAGUAAAAAAAAAAAAAAAAGCAGAUCCAAGUCUCCGCUGCGCUCCGCGGGGACACCAAACAACCUCCGAGCUGAAGUCGAAGAAGACGAAAUUAACUUUUUUCCACUCACACAAUUCUACUUAAAUUUGAGGAAAAUUGUCCCGUCAUUGUCUUUGAGCUGUCUUAAGAAACAGAAACAUAAUUAUGAGCUUGAUUAUGAAUUAGUAAUGAAGAAAGCUCCGCAGCUCCGCGCUGCCUGAAGCUUUGAGGUGAAUGUUUAUGGAUUUACAGGCGGACAGUUUCAGGUUGAGCACUUCAAUCAGUGUUGCGUUUCAUCUUGGCUGCAGCGCGCACGCUCCGCCUGCUCUCACCAAGAAAACCGACUUUCCCGUGAAGCUGGAGUCUUUAGAUGUGGACGCGCAGAUGCUGUGUGCGCUCAGGACGCGCCACUGCAGGGACCACUGGGAGUGAGCUGGGAGCAAGCGACCUGCAUGACGCGCUACAGCCCGGGCGUCUCGCGGGGAAGGUUCCUGUCACAAGACAUCACGGAGUGGCACAAAGAGGAUGUGAUGGUUCGGUGACGGCGGAGUUUGGACGCAUUCGAGAGUUUGUUUCAGUGCGCGCGCGGAGCGGCUGCGGACAGCGCGACACUUUGUUUUUUUUUUUUUUUUUUUUUGGAUCUCUUAAUUGCCGCCGGUGCUCGUCGCAUGUGCCCAGGGCGCUGAGGGUCAGCUCAAAGAGCAUCAGGAGAAAGCUU
Long non-coding RNA from Oryzias javanicus (javanese ricefish), 3732 nucleotides. The record is from Ensembl. Lineage: Eukaryota; Metazoa; Chordata; Actinopteri; Beloniformes; Adrianichthyidae.